This 329-nucleotide ribosomal RNA is filed under the name Clostridioides difficile. Its description in RNAcentral is "bacterial LSU rRNA". It matches the Rfam family "Bacterial large subunit ribosomal RNA", at positions 1711 to 2051 of the family's 2925-position model. Lineage: Bacteria; Bacillati; Bacillota; Clostridia; Peptostreptococcales; Peptostreptococcaceae. The record is from RNAcentral.
AACUCGGCAAAAUGACCCCGUAACUUAGGGAUAAGGGGUGCCACCAUCAGGUGGCCGCAGAGAAUAGGCCCAAGCGACUGUUUACCAAAAACAUAGGUUUCUGCUAAGUCGCAAGACGAUGUAUAGGAGCUGACGCCUGCCCGGUGCGGGAAGGUUAAGGGGGUCUGUGAGAGGAAUCGAAGCAGGGAACUUAAGCCCCAGUAGACGGCGGCCGUAAAUGUAACGGUCCUGAGGUAGCGAAAUGCCUUGUCGGGUAAGUUCCGACCCGAACGAAAGGCGUAACGAUUUGGGCACUGUCUCAACAACAGACUCGGUGAAAUUGUAAUUCC